AGCUAGACUGGGAGGUGGGUGGCUGCACACUCAAAACUGGCUUCCAACGGGACACAGACAUCAAAACAAAGAAGAGGGCCUCACGACAGGGUUGCCUUGCUUACUCAGCCCACAGCUCUCAAACCGUUGCGCGAGGAAGAGCACGCAGGAGAACAGGAUGCAUGCAUUAUUCUCCACGACUGAUACAGAAGUAAAUUCCAGAAAGCUUUAAAGUCAGUUUGUAUAAAGAGAGGUUCUCUUUGACUGUGAAACAGAAGAAAAUCUUUCCUUAACAAUAACUUACACGUGCCAUGAAAGAGAUGAAGCAGAAGAUUAAGCAGGAAACCCAGCUACUUUUUUGCCCUAAGGCAUUACUCAUUUUCCUGACACAUUAUGUUUUUAAUUAAAAUUACAUGUGAGUUAAU
RNAcentral lists this long non-coding RNA (404 nucleotides) under Homo sapiens (human). Its description in RNAcentral is "HSALNT0347408". The record is from RNAcentral. Lineage: Eukaryota; Metazoa; Chordata; Mammalia; Primates; Hominidae.